UACGGAGGGGGUUAGCGUUGUUCGGAAUUACUGGGCGUAAAGCGCACGUAGGCGGAUCAGAAAGUAAGAGGUGAAAUCCCAGGGCUCAACCCUGGAACUGCCUUUUAAACUCCUGGUCUUGAGUUCGAGAGAGGUGAGUGGAAUUCCGAGUGUAGAGGUGAAAUUCGUAGAUAUUCGGAGGAACACCAGUGGCGAAGGCGGCUCACUGGCUCGAUACUGACGCUGAGGUGCGAAAGCGUGGGGAGCAAACAGG
This 253-nucleotide ribosomal RNA is filed under the name uncultured bacterium. RNAcentral describes it as "partial 16S ribosomal RNA". It matches the Rfam family "Bacterial small subunit ribosomal RNA", at positions 524 to 776 of the family's 1533-position model. The record is from RNAcentral.